GUGAGGAAUAUUGCGCAAUGGAGGCAACUCUGACGCAGCCAUGCCGCGUGCAGGAAGAAGGCGCUACGCGUUGUAAACUGCUUUUAACCGGGAAGAAACCCCAGGACGUGUCCUGGGUUGACGGUACCGGAGGAAUAAGCACCGGCUAACUUCGUGCCAGCAGCCGCGGUAAUACGAAGGGUGCAAGCGUUAUCCGGAUUCAUUGGGUUUAAAGGGUGCGUAGGCGGAGCGUUAAGUCAGUGGUGAAAUCCUGCAGCUUAACUGUAGACUUGCCAUUGAUACUGGAGCUCUUGAGUGCGCUUGAAGUGGGCGGAAUGUGCCGUGUAGCGGUGAAAUGCUUAGAUAUGGCACAGAACACCAAUUGCGAAGGCAGCUCACUAAGGCGAUACUGACGCUGAGGCACGAAAGCGUGGGGAUCGAACAGGAUUAGAUACCCUUGUAGUCC
Molecule: ribosomal RNA, 445 nt
Filed under: uncultured bacterium
Lineage: Bacteria
Description: partial 16S ribosomal RNA
Rfam family: Bacterial small subunit ribosomal RNA
Source: RNAcentral